This 75-nucleotide transfer RNA is filed under the name Patescibacteria group bacterium. RNAcentral's name for it is "tRNA-Thr". It matches the Rfam family "tRNA". From Rfam's summary of the family: Transfer RNA (tRNA) molecules are approximately 80 nucleotides in length. Their secondary structure includes four short double-helical elements and three loops (D, anti-codon, and T loops). Further hydrogen bonds mediate the characteristic L-shaped molecular structure. tRNAs have two regions of fundamental functional importance: the anti-codon, which is responsible for specific mRNA codon recognition, and the 3' end, to which the tRNAs corresponding amino acid is attached (by aminoacyl-tRNA synthetases). tRNAs cope with the degeneracy of the genetic code in two manners: having more than one tRNA (with a specific anti-codon) for a particular amino acid; and 'wobble' base-pairing, i.e. permitting non-standard base-pairing at the 3rd anti-codon position. The record is from RNAcentral.
GCCGAAGUAGCUCAGUGGCAGAGCAACGCUUUCGUAAAGCGUGGGUCGUGGGUUCGAUUCCCACUUUCGGCUCAA